This 1046-nucleotide long non-coding RNA is filed under the name Coturnix japonica (Japanese quail). RNAcentral's name for it is "lncRNA (ENSCJPG00005001591.1)". Lineage: Eukaryota; Metazoa; Chordata; Aves; Galliformes; Phasianidae. The record is from RNAcentral.
GGGGUCUAUGGGGUGAUGGGGUGUUUAUGGGGGUCUAAUGGGGUUAUGGUGGGGGUCUAUGGAGGUCUAUGGGGCUAUGGGUGGUUAUGGGUGUUUUAAAUGGGUCUAUGGGGUCUAUGGGGUUAUGGGACGGGGUUAUGGGGUGUUUAUGGGGUCUAUGGGGUCUAUGGGGUUAUGGGGUGGUUAUGGGGUGGUUAUGAGUGUUAUUGAGGUGGUUAUGGGUUCAUGGGGGGUUAUGGGGUCUAUGCGGUCUAUGGGGUUAUGGCGGUGGUUUGGGGGCGUUAUGGGGGUUGUUUAUGGGUCUAUGGGGUCUAUGGCGGUUGGUAUAUGGGGUGCGUUAUGCAGGUUAAUGCAGGUGGUUUAUGGGGUCUAUGGGUCUAUGGGGUUAUGGGGGUUUAUGGGGUCUAUGGGGUUAUGGGGUGUUUAUGGGGUCGGAUAUGGGGUUUGGGGUGUUUAUAGUGGUCAUAUGGGCGUCUAUGGGGUUAUGGGAGUUGGAUAUGGGUUAUGGGGGUGUUUAUGGGUCUAUGCGGGUCUAGGGGGUUAUUGGGCGUGGAUAUGCGGGUUAUUGGGGAGUGUUGUUAUUGGCGUCUAUUGGGGGGUCUAUGGGGUUAUAGGCGUGGUUAUGGGUGGUUAUGGGGUUUAUUGGGGUGAUUUAGUGGGGUCUUAUGGGGUUAUUGGGGUGGGUUAUGGGGUGGUUUAUGAGGUAAUGGGGGGGUUAUGGGGGGUGGUUAUGGGGUGGUGUAUGCGGUGGAUAUGGGGUUAUUGAGGUGGUUUAUGGGUUAUGGGCGUUUGGGAGGUUAUGGGGGGAUUUAGGGCUAUGGGGGUAUGGGUUAUGGGGUAUUGGGGUGUUUAUGGGGGUCUAUGGGGCCUAUGGGGUUAUGGGGUGGUUAUGGGGUUAUGGGGUGUUUAUGGGGUCUAUGGGGUCUAUGGGGUUAUGGGGUGGUUAUGGGGUUAUGGGGUGUUUAUGGGUCUAGUGCGGGUCUAUGGGGUUAUGGGGGGGUUUGCUACGGCGGUCUAUGGCGGUUAUGGGGGUUUUAUGGGGGUGU